RNAcentral lists this ribosomal RNA (301 nucleotides) under uncultured bacterium. RNAcentral's name for it is "partial 16S ribosomal RNA". It matches the Rfam family "Bacterial small subunit ribosomal RNA", at positions 509 to 807 of the family's 1533-position model. The record is from RNAcentral.
CAUCAGCCGCGGUAAUACGUAGGGUGCGAGCGUUAAUCGGAAUUACUGGGCGUAAAGCGUGCGCAGGCGGUUCGUUAAGACAGAUGUGAAAUCCCCGGGCUUAACCUGGGAACUGCAUUUGUGACUGCAAGGCUAGAGUACGGCAGAGGGGGAUGGAAUUCCGCGUGUAGCAGUGAAAUGCGUAGAUAUGCGGAGGAACACCGAUGGCGAAGGCAAUCCCCUGGGCCUGUACUGACGCUCAUGCACGAAAGCGUGGGGAGCAAACAGGAUUAGAUACCCCCGUAGUCCCUGUCUCUUAUAC